RNAcentral lists this ribosomal RNA (464 nucleotides) under uncultured bacterium. RNAcentral describes it as "partial 16S ribosomal RNA". It matches the Rfam family "Bacterial small subunit ribosomal RNA", at positions 339 to 795 of the family's 1533-position model. The record is from RNAcentral.
CUACGGGGGGCAGCAGUGGGGAAUUUUGGACAAUGGGCGCAAGCCUGAUCCAGCCAUUCCGCGUGAGUGAAGAAGGCCUUCGGGUUGUAAAGCUCUUUCGCAAGGGAAGAAAACUUAUCCUCUAACAUAGGGUGAGGUUAACGGUACCUUGAUAAGAAGCACCGGCUAACUACGUGCCAGCAGCCGCGGUAAUACGUAGGGUGCGAGCGGUAAUCGGAAUUACUGGGCGUAAAGCGUGCGCAGGCUGUUUUGUAAGUCAGAUGUGAAAUCCCCGAGCUCAACUUGGGAACUGCGUUUGAAACUACAAGACUAGAAUAUGUCAGAGGGGGGUAGAAUUCCAUGUGUAGCAGUGAAAUGCGUAGAGAUGUGGAGGAAUACCAAUGGCGAAGGCAGCCCCCUGGGAUAAUAUUGACGCUCAUGCACGAAAGCGUGGGGAGCAAACAGGAUUAGAUACCCUAGUAGUC